GAUGAACGCUGGCGGCGUGCCUAAUACAUGCAAGUCGAGCGAACAGAUGAGGAUCUUGCUCCUCUGACGUUAGCGGCGGGCGGGUGAAUAACACGUGUAUAACCUACCUAUAAGUCUGGGAUCACUUCGGGACACCGGAUCUAAUACCGGAUAAGAUAUUGCACCGCAUGGUUCAAUAGUGAAAGACGGCUUUGGUGUCACUUAUAGCUGGUUCCGCGCUGGAUUAGCUAGUUGGUAGGGUAACGGCCUACCAAGGCGACGAUGCGUAGCCGACCUGAGAGAGUGAUCGGCCACACUGGAACGGAGACACGGUCCAGACUCCUACGGGAGGGAGCAGUAGGGAAUCUUAGGCAAUGGGCGAAAGCCUGACGGAGCAACGCCGCGUGAGUGAUGAAGGUCUUCGGAUCGUAAAGCUCUGUUAUUAGGGAAGAACAAAUGUGUAAGUAAAUAUGGCCGUCUUGACGGUACCUAGUCAAGAAGCAACGGCUAACUACGUG
RNAcentral lists this ribosomal RNA (497 nucleotides) under uncultured bacterium. RNAcentral's name for it is "partial 16S ribosomal RNA". It matches the Rfam family "Bacterial small subunit ribosomal RNA", at positions 28 to 507 of the family's 1533-position model. The record is from RNAcentral.